RNAcentral lists this ribosomal RNA (245 nucleotides) under uncultured Myxococcales bacterium. Its description in RNAcentral is "partial 16S ribosomal RNA". It matches the Rfam family "Bacterial small subunit ribosomal RNA", at positions 524 to 768 of the family's 1533-position model. Lineage: Bacteria; Pseudomonadati; Myxococcota; Myxococcia; Myxococcales. The record is from RNAcentral.
UACGGAGGGUGCAAGCGUUGUUCGGAUUUACUGGGCGUAAAGCGCGUGUAGGCGGUUCGGCAAGUUUCUUGUGAAAGCCCUGGGCUCAACCCAGGAAGUGCAAGGGAUACUACCGAACUUGAGUCCGGGAGAGGGGAGUGGAAUUCCAGGUGUAGAGGUGAAAUUCGUAGAUAUCUGGAGGAACACCAGUGGCGUAGGCGACUCCCUGGACCGAGACUGACGCUGAGACGCGAAAGCGUGGGUAG